RNAcentral lists this ribosomal RNA (465 nucleotides) under Vreelandella stevensii. Its description in RNAcentral is "partial 16S ribosomal RNA". It matches the Rfam family "Bacterial small subunit ribosomal RNA", at positions 338 to 795 of the family's 1533-position model. Lineage: Bacteria; Pseudomonadati; Pseudomonadota; Gammaproteobacteria; Oceanospirillales; Halomonadaceae. The record is from RNAcentral.
CCUACGGGAGGCUGCAGUGGGGAAUAUUGGACAAUGGGGGCAACCCUGAUCCAGCCAUGCCGCGUGUGUGAAGAAGGCCCUCGGGUUGUAAAGCACUUUCAGUGAGGAAGAACGCCUGGUGGUUAAUACCCAUCAGGAAAGACAUCACUCACAGAAGAAGCACCGGCUAACUCCGUGCCAGCAGCCGCGGUAAUACGGAGGGUGCGAGCGUUAAUCGGAAUUACUGGGCGUAAAGCGCGCGUAGGUGGCUUGAUAAGCCGGUUGUGAAAGCCCCGGGCUCAACCUGGGAACGGCAUCCGGAACUGUCAAGCUAGAGUGCAGGAGAGGAAGGUAGAAUUCCCGGUGUAGCGGUGAAAUGCGUAGAGAUCGGGAGGAAUACCAGUGGCGAAGGCGGCCUUCUGGACUGACACUGCCACUGAGGUGCGAAAGCGUGGGUAGCAAACAGGAUUAGAUACCCCGGUAGUC